RNAcentral lists this ribosomal RNA (253 nucleotides) under uncultured bacterium. RNAcentral's name for it is "partial 16S ribosomal RNA". It matches the Rfam family "Bacterial small subunit ribosomal RNA", at positions 524 to 776 of the family's 1533-position model. The record is from RNAcentral.
UACGUAGGGGGCAAGCGUUGUCCGGAAUCAUUGGGCGUAAAGAGCGCGUAGGCGGCCCGGUAAGUCCGCUGUGAAAGUCAAGGGCUCAACCCUUGAAUGCCGGUGGAUACUGUCGGGCUAGAGUCCGGAAGAGGCGAGUGGAAUUCCUGGUGUAGCGGUGAAAUGCGCAGAUAUCAGGAGGAACACCAAUGGCGAAGGCAGCUCGCUGGGACGGUACUGACGCUGAGACGCGAAAGCGUGGGGAGCGAACAGG